CGGCGCCUUCUGCCUGAGUAUUACUCCAGCCCACUGGGUUUGUUCCUUUCACUCGGACCGGCAGGCUGCGCUCAGCUCACAUUACCAGCCUGGAUCCCAUACCUGCCAAGGGCGAGCCAGAUGCAGAGCGACAGAGGAAGAAUGAAGUAUGCAGACAAUUGGAGGGUGAGCAAGGCGAAGAGGAGCUUCCUUGAGCGACAGAACAGCUCUCAGGAAACCGGAACGUAGAAAUUGGUUUCUUCAGGAAGCCUUCCCUGCUUCUCUAGUUUGAG
Molecule: long non-coding RNA, 272 nt
Filed under: Homo sapiens (human)
Lineage: Eukaryota; Metazoa; Chordata; Mammalia; Primates; Hominidae
Description: HSALNT0077492
Source: RNAcentral